This 232-nucleotide ribosomal RNA is filed under the name uncultured bacterium. Its description in RNAcentral is "partial 16S ribosomal RNA". It matches the Rfam family "Bacterial small subunit ribosomal RNA", at positions 118 to 347 of the family's 1533-position model. The record is from RNAcentral.
UGAGGAACAUGACCUUCGGCGGGGGAUAGCCGGCCCAACGGCCGGGUAAUACCGCGUACGACCACAUGGGGACAUCCCUGAGUGGUGAAAGCAGCAAUGCGCCGAUGGAGUGCCUCGCGGCCUAUCAGCUAGUUGGUGAGGUAACGGCUCACCAAGGCAACGACGGGUAGCUGGUCUGAGAGGAUGGCCAGCCACAGUUGGGACUGAGACACGGCCCAGACCUGUACGGGAG